AACAUCGCGCACCUGCGGGAACCUGCGGAGGGAUCAUUACAGAAUUACAACUAUUUGAGAGUUGUUUUUUUCUUUCCUGGCUGUUUCUCGAGAGAGAGAUGGUUUGUGGGGGGGGGAGAAGAUGGCUCUCAUUUACAAACAAACGAUCACAACUAUUAUGCUGUGCUGUGCUGUGUGUGUGUGUGCUUUUCGCUCACUGUGGUGGUGAUGAGCAUGCAUAUAUAUAUGCAUGUGUGCACA
Molecule: unclassified non-coding RNA, 240 nt
Filed under: soil metagenome
Description: partial contains 5.8S ribosomal RNA, internal transcribed spacer 2, and large subunit ribosomal RNA
Source: RNAcentral